AUGAACGCUGGCGGCGUGGAUGAGUCAUGCAAGUCAAACGGGAUCACUUUAUGUAGCAAUACAUGUUGUGAUUCAGUGGCAGACGAGGUAGUAACACGUAGGAACCUAACCUUGAGUCGGGAAUAAUUCACCGAAAGGCGAACUAAUACCCGAUGGUAUCUAAGGAUUAAAGAAGCAAUUCGCUUAAGGAAGGGCCUGCGGAGUAUCAGCUAGUUGGUAAGGUAACGGCUUACCAAGGCUAUGACGCUUAGGGGACCUGAGAGGGUGACCCCCACCGAUGGGACUGAGACACGGCCCAUACACCUACGGGUGGCUGCAGACGAGAAUAUUCGACAAUGGGCGAAAGCCUGAUCGAGCGACGCCGCGUGAUGGAUGAAGACCCUCUGGGUCGUAAACAUCUUUUAUGGAGGAGAAAGUCAGCCAAUUUAUUGGCUGAUUGAUAGUACUUCAUGAAUAAGGGGUUGCUAAACUCGU
This 474-nucleotide ribosomal RNA is filed under the name uncultured bacterium. Its description in RNAcentral is "bacterial SSU rRNA". It matches the Rfam family "Bacterial small subunit ribosomal RNA", at positions 29 to 506 of the family's 1533-position model. The record is from RNAcentral.